This is a long non-coding RNA of Mytilus californianus (California mussel), 401 nucleotides long. RefSeq lists it as uncharacterized. The transcript has 3 exons. The record is from RefSeq and is a predicted model, not a curated record. NCBI's taxonomy places the organism in Eukaryota, Metazoa, Mollusca, Bivalvia, Mytilida, Mytilidae.
UUUGGGGAAAUGUACAACAAUACCAUGUCAUAUUAAUUACCAUGAUGAUGAUGGAUCUCCUUAUCUGGAAAGGGAAAGAUAUGACGUGUUCAUUUCUACACAUUGGAUGAGAUAUGAAGGUUGUUAUUUUAAUUCCUCGUAUACAGACACGAACAACAUGAAACAACUAAAAUACAAUUCACCAGGUCGUUGUUCAAUAAAAUGUGAAUCGUCUUCAUAUUUCGGCGUGAAGAUGAACACACGCGUGUGUUUAGGAGAUCAAAAUUGGUCAAACAUGAACACUAGUAAAAUCUGUAACCAUUCAUGUACAGAUCAGUGGACGAAUGCUACAUGUGGAUCAAAAGACAACUGGUACUUUGAUGUGUAUAAUCAGAUGAAAGGUAACAUAAAUCUAGAUUAGU